RNAcentral lists this ribosomal RNA (522 nucleotides) under uncultured Acidobacteriota bacterium. Its description in RNAcentral is "bacterial SSU rRNA". It matches the Rfam family "Bacterial small subunit ribosomal RNA", at positions 13 to 532 of the family's 1533-position model. Lineage: Bacteria; Pseudomonadati; Acidobacteriota. The record is from RNAcentral.
UUGAUCCUGGCUCAGAAUCAACGCUGGCGGCGUGCCUAACACAUGCAAGUCGAGCGCGAAAGGGGGGCAACCCCCAAGUAGAGCGGCGAACGGGUGAGUUACGCGUGGGUUAUCUACCUCCGAGUGGGGAAUAACACCGGGAAACUGGUUCUAAUACCGCAUGACAUCGCAAGAUCAAAGCUGGGGACCGCAAGGCCUAUCGCUUGGAGAGGAGCCCGUGUCCGAUUAGCUAGUUGGCGGGGUAAUGGCUCACCAAGGCUUCGAUCGGUAGCCGGCCUGAGAGGGCGGACGGCCACACUUGGACUGAGACACGGCCCAGACUCCUACGGGAGGCAGCAGUGGGGAAUUUUUCGCAAUGGGGGAAACCCUGACGAAGCAACGCCGCGUGGAGGAUGAAGGUCUUCGGGUUGUAAACUCCUGUCGACUGGGACGAAAGCUAUCUGACCCAAUACGUCAGGUAGUCGACUGUACCGGUGGAGGAAGCCACGGCUAACUCUGUUCCAGCAGCCGCGGUAAUAAGGU